UGAAUACGAGAUGCUACGGCGUCGAAGCAGUGUAUGUCAGACUUCCAAGAAAAGCUCGCAAUGUCAUAAAUAAAGAAUGCCUGUACCAUAACCGACACAGGUGGGUAGGUAGAGUAUACUAAGGGGCGCGAGAUAACUCUCUCUAAGGAACUCGGCAAAAUAACUCCGUAACUUCGGGAGAAGGAGUGCCUUCUAUUAGAAGGUUGCAAUAACAAGAUCCAAGCAACUGUUUAUCAAAAACACAGGUCUCCGCUAAGUCGUAAGACGAUGUAUGGGGGCUGACGCCUGCCCAGUGCCAGAAGGUUAAAGAAGUUGGUUAGCUUUGGCGAAGCUGAUGACUGAAGCCCUGGUGAACGGCGGCCGUAACAAUAACGGUCCUAAGGUAGCGAAAUUCCUUGUCGGGUAAGUUCCGACCCGCACGAAAGGCGUAAUGAUUUGGAUACUGUCUCGGAGAGGGACUCGGUGAAAUAGACUUGUCUGUGAAGAUGCGGACUACCUGCACCAGGACGGAAAGACCCUAUGAAGCUUUACUGUAACUUGAAAUUGAAAUUGGACUUUAUUUGCGCAGCAUAGGUGGAAGGCGUUGAGAUUACUCUUGCGGGAGUACUGGAGCCAUCAGUGAGAUACCACUCCUAUAAUGUUAGAUUUCUAACUUUGGAUCAUGAUCUGGUCAAAGAACAGUUUCAGGCGGGCAGUUUGACUGGGGCGGUCGCCUCCCAAAUGGUAACGGAGGCGUACAAAGGUUUCCUCUGAACGGGUAGAAAUCGUAUCUAGAGUGUAAAGGCAUAAGGAAGCUUGACUGUGAGACCUACAAGUCGACCAGGGACGAAAGUCGGUCUUAGUGAUCUGACGGUGCUGAGUGGAAAGGCCGUCACUCAACGGAUAAAAGUUACUCUAGGAUAACAGGCUGAUCUCCCCCAAGAGUUCACAUCGACGGGGAGGUUUGGCACCUCGAUGUCGGCUCAUCGCAUCCUGGGGCGGUAGUACGUCCCAAGGGUUGGGCUGUUCGCCCAUGAAAGCGGUACGCGAGCUGGGUUCAGAACGUCGUGAGACAGUUCGGUCCAUAUCCGGUGUAGGCGUUAGAAUAUUGAGAGGAGCCUUCUUUAGUACGAGAGGACCGAGAAGGACAUACCUCUGGUGUACCAGUUAUCGUGCCAACGGUAAACGCUGGGUAGCUAUGUAUGGAGAGGAUAACCGCUGAAAGCAUCUAAGUGGGAAGCCCACCUCAAGAUGAGUAUUC
Molecule: ribosomal RNA, 1240 nt
Filed under: metagenome
Description: bacterial LSU rRNA
Rfam family: Bacterial large subunit ribosomal RNA
Source: RNAcentral